RNAcentral lists this ribosomal RNA (506 nucleotides) under uncultured bacterium. RNAcentral's name for it is "partial 16S ribosomal RNA". It matches the Rfam family "Bacterial small subunit ribosomal RNA", at positions 29 to 523 of the family's 1533-position model. The record is from RNAcentral.
AGUGAACGCUGGCGGUAGGCCUAACACAUGCAAGUCGAACGGCAGCACAGAGGAGCUUGCUCCUUGGGUGGCGAGUGGCGGACGGGUGAGAAAUACAUCGGAAUCUACUCUGUCGUGGGGGAUAACGUAGGGAAACUUACGCUAAUACCGCAUACGACCUACGGGUGAAAGCAGGGGACCUUCGGGCCUUGCGCGAUUGAAUGAGCCGAUGUCGGAUUAGCUAGUUGGCGGGGUAAAGGCCCACCAAGGCGACGAUCCGUAGCUGGUCUGAGGGGAUGAUCAGCCACACUGGAACUGAGACACGGUCCAGACUCCUACGGGAGGCAGCAGUGGGGAAUAUUGGACAAUGGGCGCAAGCCUGAUCCAGCCAUACCGCGUGGGUGAAGAAGGCCUUCGGGUUGUAAAGCCCUUUUGUUGGGAAAGAAAUCCAGCUGGCUAACACCCGGUUGGGAUGACGGUACCCAAAGAAUAAGCACCGGCUAACUUCGUGCCAGCCGCCGCAGUAA